CAUUGUCUUCUCUUCACUAAACUUUAGUUAGUAGUUGGUCCCAGUCAGUAACACUCUGGGAGGGCUCAGGCCACAUCACGAAAUGUGACAGGAUAGCCUUGAACUCAUCAAUUGCUGGGUAAGAAAGAAUUUUAAUGCAAUGGCAAACAACCAAUCAAACAAGCAAACAAAAACAAUAAACCCUUCCUUGAGGACCAAGAAGACAUUGAUUAGCUAACCUAAGAGCUCCAGGUGGAGACCUAGGUCCUGAUUGGGUUUCUGAAUUUGACCACUAGGCAGAAAACUAGCACCCAAAACCAGUUGGAAUAAAAUUACCCACCUACAGUGGAGCCAAGGCCCCCAGAUCCUUUUUGUCAGGGGCACCUCAAACUCAACUCCAAAAUUGAUCUAAUGAACUUUCCCAAACCACAUUCCCUUCUUGCAUUUCUGAGAGAAUGGAUUCCCAUUCAUCUGACUACAGUGCUACCCUGAAAGCAGAUCCAGAGACUAAGAUUCACCUGCAGGUGAUUCAUUUGCAAGGUAAGCUGUCAUCAGUUGGAGGUAAGCAGAAGACAGUAGAGAGUACAGAGCCCUGGACUGUGACUCAGAGGAUGAGCACCAGAUCCAGUUUGCUGUGCCACAGUGCCUUCUCCAAAGUCACUCACAGAAGGCAUCCCACUCAACCUCACCUUGGGGUAAAUCAAAAUAGUCCUCCUUCUGAAGCUACCGGGUAAAACGGUGGUAGCUGUGCAGCUGCUGCUGAUCAACAGGCUCCAGAAACAGCAGCAGGAGCUCAGCAUGAUGUAAACUCCACUGCGGACAGAUGCAGCCAAGAAGACAGGUCACCUUCUACCAACUCCCACCAGAGGAAACUCUUCCCCAGGACCCAGUACGUUGGCCCUCUGACCCUGCACACAGCACAUGAUGCUGAGGUUCAGUGCUGAACAAGAGCUACUGAGAGCCAGAGAUUCACUUCUUCCAUGGAGCCCCACUCAUGGAUGGAGGCUCUGUCCCGGGUCCAGUGCCACUGGGAACACUGGGUCUCUGGUUUCUAGCUCUGUCCUAUGGCAGAGGUUCCACCCCACAAUAACCGAAGUGCUGAGAAGGUGGGAAGCUCCUGCCCGACCCUCCACUGAGAGCUCAGCUCCUAGGCUGAGGAAUAAAACAGCUCAACUUUGUCUACACCUGCAGAACCUUGUUUAGGAGCUCUGUCCCAGGAGAGAGGGGGCAAUGGAAUUCAGUCAUAAAAUAUGAUCCUUAAUUAGUCCUAAAAAUCCUAACUUCAGUAACAGCAGAUUGUGGACAAAUUGAAAGCCUGCCAGUGCUCUCAAAAACAGUGGAUGGUGUGGUGGAAAGCCCUUGGAAGGAGACGGGUGGAUGCAUGGGAGAUGCAGGCUACACUGCAGGGCUGCUGGCUUGCAGGAGAGAACCGAGGACAAGGGAGAGCUGGGGAAAGUUCUCUUGUGGUUGAAAUAAAUGCCAGACACUCUUCAAUGG
Homo sapiens (human) is the source of this 1476-nucleotide long non-coding RNA. Ensembl annotates it as long intergenic non-protein coding RNA 1193. The record is from Ensembl. Lineage: Eukaryota; Metazoa; Chordata; Mammalia; Primates; Hominidae.